Molecule: small RNA, 584 nt
Filed under: Arabidopsis thaliana (thale cress)
Lineage: Eukaryota; Viridiplantae; Streptophyta; Magnoliopsida; Brassicales; Brassicaceae
Description: ATSL289390
Source: RNAcentral
CCAAAUAUUGUGGCAUACCUAUAUAUGAUCUCAUUCCUCUUUAUUUUGAAGUGCCUAGAACACUAGUCUUCUUCUUUUCAUGGUUACGAAAAUGUUUACAGAAAAUCAUGGAUGAUUCAAGAAAAUAGACCACUUUUUGAGAUACUUUUCCGUAAACCCUAAGUAUAUCCAUAAUAUCUCUACAUUGACCAAUGACAAAUAGUAGUUUAGAUAUUGAUGGACUUAUGGGAGCUAGUUUUUAUUAUUAACUAGAUUUUAACCCGCGGUAUACCGCGGGACGAUUUAUUUUUAAAAGUAAUAUAUAUUAAAACUUGCAAAUUUUAUUUUUACAAAAUAUUUAUAUUUUACAGUUUAUAAUUGUUAUUAAGUAACGCUAUACCACGAAUUCAUGAGACAAUUGUUAAAAAAACUGAAGUUUUGACCCCUAUUAAAACAGCAUAUUAAUAAUAUUUUAAAAUUUUAUAAAUAUUGAUUCAAAUACAUCCACCAUAUAACCCAAUUCCAAAAUAAAACACGUUCUGUAAUUUCUUUACCCGUCCCAUGAUUAUUUUUUUAAGUAGUAAUUUUUAAAAUUUUAGAAUUAU